Non-coding RNA from Egretta garzetta (little egret), 71 nucleotides. NCBI's taxonomy places the organism in Eukaryota, Metazoa, Chordata, Aves, Pelecaniformes, Ardeidae. The record is from Rfam.
GGUUUGUAGGCAGUGUAGUUAGCUGAUUGUAUCUGCUGUUCCGCAAUCAUUAACUUCACUGCCAUCAAAAC